AUGCACGCUUGCGGCGUGCCUAAUACAUGCCAGUCGAGCGAACAGACGAGGAGCUUGCUCCUCUGACGUUAGCGGCGGACGGGUGAGUAACACGUGGAUAACCUACCUAUAAGACUGGGAUAACUUCGGGAAACCGGAGCUAAUACCGGAUAAUAUAUUGAACCGCAUGGUUCAAUAGUGAAAGACGGUUUUGCUGUCACUUAUAGAUGGAUCCGCGCCGCAUUAGCUAGUUGGUAAGGUAACGGCUUACCAAGGCAACGAUGCGUAGCCGACCUGAGAGGGUGAUCGGCCACACUGGAACUGAGACACGGUCCAGACUCCUACGGGAGGCAGCAGUAGGGAAUCUUCCGCAAUGGGCGAAAGCCUGACGGAGCAACGCCGCGUGAGUGAUGAAGGUCUUCGGAUCGUAAAACUCUGUUAUUAGGGAAGAACAAAUGUGUAAGUAACUAUGCACGUCUUGACGGUACCUAAUCAGAAAGCCACGGCUAACUACGUG
RNAcentral lists this ribosomal RNA (496 nucleotides) under uncultured bacterium. RNAcentral describes it as "partial 16S ribosomal RNA". It matches the Rfam family "Bacterial small subunit ribosomal RNA", at positions 29 to 507 of the family's 1533-position model. The record is from RNAcentral.